GACGAACGCUGGCGGCGUGCUUAACACAUGCAAGUCGAACGGAAAGGCCCUGCUUUUGUGGGGUGCUCGAGUGGCGAACGGGUGAGUAACACGUGAGUAACCUGCCCUUGACUUUGGGAUAACUUCAGGAAACUGGGGCUAAUACCGGAUAGGAGCUCCUGCUGCAUGGUGGGGGUUGGAUAGUUUCGGCGGGUGGGGAUGGACUCGCGGCUUAUCAGCUUGUUGGUGGGGUAGUGGCUUACCAAGGCUUUGACGGGUAGCCGGCCUGAGAGGGUGACCGGCCACAUUGGAACUGAGAUACGGCCCAGACUCCUACGGGAGGCAGCAGUGGGGAAUAUUGCACAAUGGGCGGAAGCCUGAUGCAGCAACGCCGCGUGCGGGAUGACGGCCUUCGGGUUGUAAACCGCUUUCGCCUGUGACGAAGCGUGAGUGACGGUAAUGGGUAAAGAAGCACCGGCUAACUACGUG
RNAcentral lists this ribosomal RNA (468 nucleotides) under uncultured bacterium. RNAcentral's name for it is "partial 16S ribosomal RNA". It matches the Rfam family "Bacterial small subunit ribosomal RNA", at positions 28 to 507 of the family's 1533-position model. The record is from RNAcentral.